This is a non-coding RNA of Acanthosepion pharaonis, 107 nucleotides long. The record is from the annotation of a GenBank genome assembly. Lineage: Eukaryota; Metazoa; Mollusca; Cephalopoda; Sepiida; Sepiidae.
CAUAUCAUUUUGAAACACCGGUUCUUGUAAGAGCAUCGAAGUUAAACAACGUCGAGCGUGGUCAGUACUUGGAUGGGUGACCGCUUGGGAAUGCCAGAUAUUGUAAG